CCGCAUGCAGCGCGGUGGGCCGGCCGUUGGGCGCGUGCAUCCGACGGAGAGGAGGUGAGGGCGGCCUGCAGCUGAGGGGCGAGCGUCAUGCGCGAGUGUAUCUCCAUCCACGUGGGGCAAGCGGGGGUCCAGAUUGGCAAUGCCUGCUGGGAACUGUACUGCCUUGAACAUGGAAUUCAGCCUGAUGGUCAAAUGCCAAGUGACAAAACCAUCGGUGGCGGGGAUGACUCCUUCAACACGUUCUUCAGCGAGACUGGGGCUGGCAAGCAUGUGCCCAGAGCAGUGUUUGUGGACCUGGAGCCCACCGUGGUCGAUGAAGUGCGCACAGGGACCUACAGGCAGCUCUUCCACCCGGAGCAGUUGAUCACCGGGAAGGAAGAUGCAGCCAAUAAUUAUGCCAGAGGCCAUUACACCAUCGGCAAGGAGAUCGUCGACCUGGUCCUGGACCGGAUCCGCAAACUGGUAAGAGGCGCCUGCAAGGUGGACUUGACAGAAUUCCAGACCAACCUGGUGCCCGUACCCCGCAUCCCUUCCCUGGCCACCUACGCCCCUGUCAUCUCAGCCGAGAAGGCUACCACGAGCAGCUGUCCGUGGCCGAGAUCACCAAUGCCUGCUUCGAGCCGGGAAUCAGAUGGUCCAAGUGUGACCCUCCGACAUGGCAAGUACAUGGCCUGCUGCAUGUUGUACAGGGGGGACGUGGUCCCAAAAGACGUCAAGGCCAUUGCCACAUCAAGACAAGCGCACCAUCCAGUUUGUGGACUGGUGUCCGACUGGAUAAGGUAGGAGUGGGUGAUGUCGAUUCUUUGUGGGCAUUAACUACCAGCCCCCCACUGUGGUCCCCGGGGGAGACCUGGCCAAGGUGCAGCGGGCCGUGUGCAUGCUGAGCAACACCACCGCCAUCGCCGAGGCCUGGGCCCGCCUAGACCACAAGUUCGAUCUCAUGUAUGCCAAGCGGGCCUUUGUGCACUGGUAUGUGGGAGAAGGCAUGGAGGAGGGGGAGUUCUCGGAGGCCCGAGAGGACCUGGCCGCUCUGGAGAAGGAUUAUGAAGAGGUGGGCGUGGAUUCCGUGGAAGCCGAGGCUGAGGAAGGGGAAGAAUACUGAGGGGGCACGUGGGCAGGUGCCCAUCUCUCCAGCCACCCUUCAGCAUGGCUGCUUUCAAGUUGUUUACAAUUAAAGUUUCUGUACAAAACCAAAA
Molecule: non-coding RNA, 1196 nt
Organism: Microcebus murinus (gray mouse lemur)
Lineage: Eukaryota; Metazoa; Chordata; Mammalia; Primates; Cheirogaleidae
Source: RefSeq, a predicted model, not a curated record